Molecule: ribosomal RNA, 253 nt
Filed under: uncultured bacterium
Lineage: Bacteria
Description: partial 16S ribosomal RNA
Rfam family: Bacterial small subunit ribosomal RNA
Source: RNAcentral
UACGAAGGUGGCAAGCGUUGUUCGGAUUUACUGGGCGUACAGGGAGCGUAGGCGGUUGGGUAAGCCCUUCGUGAAAUCUCCGGGCCUAACCCGGAAAGUGCGGAGGGGACUGCUCGGCUAGAGGAUGGGAGAGGAGCGCGGAAUUCCUGGUGUAGCGGUGAAAUGCGUAGAUAUCAGGAGGAACACCGGUGGUGUAGACGGCUCUCUGGACCAUAACUGACGCUGAGACACGAAAGCGUGGGUAGCAAACAGG